RNAcentral lists this ribosomal RNA (445 nucleotides) under uncultured bacterium. Its description in RNAcentral is "partial 16S ribosomal RNA". It matches the Rfam family "Bacterial small subunit ribosomal RNA", at positions 354 to 796 of the family's 1533-position model. The record is from RNAcentral.
GUGAGGAAUAUUGGUCAAUGGACGGAAGUCUGAACCAGCCAUGCCGCGUGCAGGAAUAAGGUCCUAUGGAUUGUAAACUGCUUUUAUUCGGGAAUAAACCUCUUUACGUGUAGGGAGCUGAAGGUACCGAAGGAAUAAGCACCGGCUAACUCCGUGCCAGCAGCCGCGGUAAUACGGAUGGUGCAAGCGUUAUCCGGAAUCAUUGGGUUUAAAGGGUCCGCAGGCGGUCUAUCAAGUCAGAGGUGAAAUCCCACAGCUUAACUGUGGAACUGCAUUUGAAACUGAUGGUCUUGAAGUAAGUGGGCGUUGGCGGAAUAUGACAUGUAGCGGUGAAAUGCAUAGAUAUGUCAUGGAACACCGAAAGCGAAGGCAGCUAACGAUACUUAUAUUGACGCUCAUGGACGAAAGCGUGGGUAGCGAACAGGAUUAGAAACCCGAGUAGUCC